UACGUAGGUGGCAAGCGUUGUCCGGAUUUACUGGGCGUAAAGGGAGCGUAGGCGGAUACUUAAGUGGGAUGUGAAAUACCUGGGCUUAACUUGGGUGCUGCAUUCCAAACUGGGUGUCUAGAGUGUUGGAGAGGAAAGUGGAAUUCCUAGUGUAGCGGUGAAAUGCGUAGAGAUUAGGAAGAACACCAGUGGCGAAGGCGACUUUCUGGACAAUAACUGACGCUGAGGCUCGAAAGCGUGGGGAGCAAACAGGAUUAGAUACCCUGGUAGUCCACGCCGUAAACGAUGGGUACUAGGUGUAUGUGUUAUCGACUCCUCCUGUGCCGCCGUUAACACAAUAAGUACCCCGCCUGGGGAGUACGGUCGCAAGAUUAAA
Molecule: ribosomal RNA, 376 nt
Filed under: uncultured bacterium
Lineage: Bacteria
Description: bacterial SSU rRNA
Rfam family: Bacterial small subunit ribosomal RNA
Source: RNAcentral